UUAAAACCAAAGUCCUCUAUUUAUCCACACAACAGGUAAAAAUAAGGCAAUGACAGUGCAAGCUCCUCCAGGCUGCCCUACUGAUGUGCCCCAGUCCUAAAAAGAGCCAAUUUUGCGAGUGAGAGGGUCUCUGUGGACUUUGAGUCCUUUACACAU
This 156-nucleotide small RNA is filed under the name Chrysemys picta bellii (western painted turtle). RNAcentral describes it as "TUC338 (ENSCPBG00000015196.1)". The record is from RNAcentral. Lineage: Eukaryota; Metazoa; Chordata; Testudines; Emydidae.